This 419-nucleotide ribosomal RNA is filed under the name uncultured bacterium. Its description in RNAcentral is "bacterial SSU rRNA". It matches the Rfam family "Bacterial small subunit ribosomal RNA", at positions 355 to 775 of the family's 1533-position model. The record is from RNAcentral.
UAGGGAAUCUUGGACAAUGGGCGAAAGCCUGAUCCAGCGACGCCGCGUGGGGGACGAAGGCCCUCGGGUCGUAAACCCCUGUUGGGAGGAAAGAAGCCGGCCGCAAGGUCGGUGACGGUACCUCUCGAGGAAGCCCCGGCUAACUACGUGCCAGCAGCCGCGGUAAGACGUAGGGGGCGAGCGUUAUCCGGAUUCACUGGGCGUAAAGGGCGCGCAGGCGGUUACGUAAGUCCGGCGUGAAAUCCCAUGGCUUAACUGUGGAACUGCGUCGGAUACUGCGUUGACUUGAGGAUGGUAGAGGCCAUUAGAACUAGCGGUGUAGCGGUGAAAUGCGCAGAUAUCGCUAGGAAUGCCGGUGGCGAAGGCGGAUGGCUGGGCCAAUCCUGACGCUGAGGCGCGAAAGCUAGGGGAGCGAACCG